This 460-nucleotide ribosomal RNA is filed under the name uncultured bacterium. Its description in RNAcentral is "partial 16S ribosomal RNA". It matches the Rfam family "Bacterial small subunit ribosomal RNA", at positions 338 to 795 of the family's 1533-position model. The record is from RNAcentral.
CCUACGGGAUGCAGCAGUGAGGAAUAUUGGUCAAUGGACGAGAGUCUGAACCAGCCAAGUAGCGUGAAGGAUGACUGCCCUAUGGGUUGUAAACUUCUUUUAUAUGGGAAUAAAAUGUUCCACGUGUGGGAUUUUGUAUGUACCCUCUGAAUAAGGAUCGGAUAACUCCGUGCCAGAAGCCGCGGUAAUACGGGGGAUCCGAGCGUUAUCCGGAUUUAUUGGGGUUAAAGGGAGCGUAGGGUGAUUGUUAAGACAGUUGUGAAAGUUUGCGGCGCAACCGUAAAAUUGCAUGUGAAACUGGCAGUCUUGUGUACAGUAGAGGUGGGCGGAAUUCGUGGUGUAGCGGUGAAAUGCUUAGAUAUCACGAAGAACUCCGAUUGCGAAGGCAGCUCACUGGACUGCAACUGACACUGAGGCUCGAAAGUGUGGUUAUCAAACAGGAUUAGAUACCCUAGUAGUC